GAUGAAGAACGUAGCGAAAUGCGAUAAGUAAUGUGAAUUGCAGAAUUCAGUGAAUCAUCGAAUCUUUGAACGCACCUUGCACCCUUUGGCAUUCCGAAGGGUAUGCUCGUUUGAGUGUCAUUGUACUCUCACACUCUCCGAUCCUAUGGAUUCGGGGAGCGGUGGACUUGGGUGUUGCUGCCUUUCCCUGUGGCUCACCUCAAAUGCGUCAGUGCACCUCUUGGUUGGACAUAGUACGGCGUGAUAAGUGUCUUCGCCGGCACCUCGCAAGAGGGUGGCCGAUCGGGAGCUCUGCGCUUUCAAACCGUCUUCGGACAAUUUCUGACAUCUUGACCUCAAAUCGAGUAGGACUACCCGCUGAACUUAAGCAUAUCAAAAGCGGAGGA
RNAcentral lists this unclassified non-coding RNA (386 nucleotides) under soil metagenome. Its description in RNAcentral is "partial contains 5.8S ribosomal RNA, internal transcribed spacer 2, and large subunit ribosomal RNA". The stretch from base 1 to 120 matches the Rfam family "5.8S ribosomal RNA", at positions 35 to 154 of the family's 154-position model. The record is from RNAcentral.